RNAcentral lists this long non-coding RNA (5216 nucleotides) under Nicotiana tabacum (common tobacco). RNAcentral's name for it is "long non-coding RNA (NTAB_LNC001903)". The record is from RNAcentral. Lineage: Eukaryota; Viridiplantae; Streptophyta; Magnoliopsida; Solanales; Solanaceae.
UACUUUUAUAUGGUUUUGUUUAUUGUAAUUGCAGUUGUUGAUGGUUAUCUCUAGUUUUAGAUGCUUAAAUCAUUAGCUUUUCAAUCUCAUCAUUCUGUCGAAAUUCAUAAUUAGGAAUCCCUAGGAGCAAUUUAUGAUAUUGUUCUUGCUUAAUUAUGAUUAAGGGAGACUAAUAAUAAUGUCGAAAUUCCUUUACUUCCUUUUAAUGCUAACAUGAUAUUAUUAUGUUUAAAGUUGAUUGUAGGUAAGCUUUCAAGAAUACUUGGUCUAUGCUGGUUUUGUAGGGCUAUGAUUAAAAAGAGAGAGGAUAGAGUGAAGUUCUCAUUUUUGAAUGGGCUUGGUAGAUGAAGAUGCAUAAUUAAAUGGUUUAUGAUAUAGUUGCCCCUUUCUUUGAUUCAGGGAAAGCUGUUGGCAGCUUUAUCAUUAACCAUUGUUGUGUAUCUUUGUUAUAACCUGUUGUUCCUUUCAAUAUGAGUUUUCUUCACAGUGAUGGUUCUUCCAUAAAUACACUUGAUAUGAGCCCUCUCAAUUGAACCCAAAUCAUGUACAGUUUGUGAUAUAAUGAACACAGUCCUUUAAAUUUAAUAAUGCUUUCCAUAUAGAUUAUUCUGCCCAUCAUUCGCCCUUAAUUCUUAUCAAAAGCUAAAUAGAAUUUAGAUGCUUCAUUUAAAGGCUGGCAGGUAUAUAAGAUCAUAGAAUUGGCAGAACUUAAGUGAUGGGUUGAACUAAAUUGUAUUUUUGCAAUAGUAAUUUUCCAUCCAGUCAUGUUUAAUGCACUAAGAGGGCUAUGACUACGAAGAUAGGAUAGAGUGAAAUUUCUCAUUUUUUCAUGGCUCGGUAGAUGAAGAUGCAAAAUUCAAUUUUGCCUAGAUAAAAUUUAUUGGUGAUACAUAAUUUGCCUAGAUAGGAUAGGAGAAACUACAUUAUGAAACAAAUUGGUGAUACAUAAUUUGAACCAAAAAAAUAUCGUUUUCUGAGUCUCCUUAGUUCAUUCAUACAUAAUUUAAACCAAAAAUAACUUGAAACUAUUUUCUUUUCCUUAUUGAGUCUUCUUAGUUCAUUCAUUAUUUUUUGAGACUCUUUUAGAGUAAGGUUAAGAAUAUCCUGCAAUUUAUUAUAUCUAUCACAGUUAUAAGGUCUUACCUGGCAUGUUUCACUUCGUUCCAUGAAAUAAUUUUCAUCAUCAUCUUUGCAUUUGUCAUCUAAAUCAUGUUCAUUGGUCCAAUAGUCCGAGAGUUUGUUCAUGUCGUUUUUUAGGAUUGUCAUGAAGCAUAGAUUUGCUAUCUCCUUGUGUUCCGAAUUGUCUUUGUCACUCUGGCUUCCAAAAGAUUUGUUUUUAUUAAAUUCUCUAGAAACCCUUUCUUUUAAGAUUUGGGCAUUCAGCUUGAACAUGCCUAUAUCUUCUACACUUAUAAUACAUUCCAUCAUUCUUGUCUUAUUCAUUAUAUUGCCUGAUUUGCUUGGGUGGCAUCUUGCCAUGUUUUUGUAUCUUCUCAUUAAACCAUCCAUGUUAUGGCAAUCUCUUCUUCAAGAGCUUCAGGGUCGUCAUCAGUAUCAUUUUCUAUCCUUUUAAUUGUAGCUUUGAAAGUGAUUGUUUUCUUCUUUCCUUACUGGCUUGUUUUCUUAAGGUGAGUUUUCUCGAAUGCUAUAAGAUCUCCUUGAAGCUCAUCAUAUGAAAGUUUAUUUAGAUCUUGUGAUUCAAAUGCAACUAUUUUUGUCUACCAAGUGGUAGGUAGACUUUUCAGAAUUUUUCGAACUUGAUCAUCACUUGAGUAUGGUUUAUCAAAAGCUUUUAGAUUGCUAAUGAUUUUGCUGAACAUUGCAAACAUUUCUUCAAUGGAUUCUCCUUCUUUCAUCUAGAAGAGUUCAUAGUCAUGAAGUUGAUCUGAGUUUCUUGCACUUUGCUAGUUCCUUCAUAAGUAACUUUCAGUUUAUCCCAUAUUUCUUUUGCUGUAUCACAACUUGAGUUUAUCUCAUUCAUCAUCUCCACUUAUAGCAUUAUAGAGUAAGUUUCGUACUUUAGAAUUAACUUGACAACUAUCAUUUGCUCGUCUGUGUGCUCAUUUAUAUCUUUUGGAUCACCAGGAAAUAAAGACACUAUAAUUUUAUACUGAUUCGGAUUCAAUGUGAAUCAUACUCCAGUCCCCUUGGGUUGCAAGAGUGUUCUCUUUCAGUGAUCGACGUAUUCAAUGUGAAUCCUACUCCAGCCCCCUUGGGUUGCAAGUGUGUUCUCUUUCAGUGAUCGACGUUUCUUGAGUAUAGAAUGAUUGAUGUAGCUUUACACCAACAACUUAAUCUCUAUGUCUCUUUUCUCUUCUUGAUACAAGAUCGGUGUUUAUCUCUUUUUUUUCUCUCACUAAUUACACAACAGAUCUAUAAGAAUUACAAUGCUUGUUUGGAGUAGAACAAAAGGAGUGAAAAUGUUUGUUCAAAGUAUGUUCUCUUCAAGUCCAAAACAUAUGUACAUAUACAUUUCAUGACGCCUUUUUGACUCUUGAAUGACAGAGAGAUUGCAAACCCAAGGGAGUUGAUCCUUGAAAGGAAUCAUAGAUGGAUUUUUUCUAAGAAUAAAGUCAAGUUUCCAUUGAUCUUCCUUGGUUUAUGGUCUUGACUAACGUUCCAUCCGCUAGACAUAUCUUUUUGUUACUUGAGGCAUAUCCGUUGGAACCCUUGGUUUCUGGCUUCAUCGAUUUUCAGUGCAUCCUUUUGCGAUCUCGUUUCCUUUUGAUUUGGGACCUUCCAGUAAUAGCUUCCAUCAAUCACUGAUUGAUUCUUCUUUCGGAUUUACGCCGCUUCUUCCUUUUUCAUCACUAUUCAUUGCCUCUUUUCCUUGCGUUGAUUCUAGAGCCCCCAUUAACAGAUUAUUUCCUUAAUCUAUACCUGACUGGUAUUGCUUCUUGAAUCUUUUAAUUGAUUCCUUGUGAUCCUGCGCCAAAUGUGAUAUAUUAUUUUUCAUCAUUGAAAUUUAUAAUUAACAAAUUUUUCGUAUUUCCAAUCUCUUUAUAUUUCAGAAACCCUACAUAUUUUCCGUCUUUCUCUUUGAUAUUCUUGCUUACCUUCUUUCUCCAAGAUUUCAUUAGUUCAAGUGUUCAACAAUACUUUUUAGCUUCCAAUAGUUUUGUACUUUUAUUACUCUAUAAAAUCUUAUCUGAGAUCAACAAUUUCUCAAAAAAGAUUAAAAAUAAAUUAGAUAUAUUAUCAAUGAAAAGGAACUAUUUCUAAAAAUCGAUUAUAAAAAAGAUUAUUACAAAUUUUGUAUCUCAAAAAGUUAGAAGAAUAGAUUUCAAACAAAAAUAAUCUUAUAACUUUCUUAUAAAAAAUUAAGCCCCAUAUUAAAUUUUGGCUUUAGGGGGUAUGUUCUUGAGCCAUCACUCAAAAGUAUAGAUGUCCUCUGUCUUUUAAAAGUAUCAAGCCAUUUUAUUGUUAACGAAACAACUGUGCUACUACUAUUUUGAACUAGCACUAUUUAGUAGGUAGCAACCUCUUCAUCCUUGAUAGCACUCUCUUCAUCCUCUGUAUUAGUGAAGAAAUCGUACUUUGCCUCCCUCGCUUUGUCUUCUGUAUGUUUCUUUUCUUUUCCACUUUUUCUUGAAGGAUUGCAAAUAGAUGUUCGUAGAACGCAUCAGAAAAUAAUAACAAUUAUAGGUAGAAUUUUUCGUGUUUAAAAUUUAUUUAAAUGUCAAAGAUCAGAUCUAAGACGUACUUGGCAAGGAGAGUCUCGUUUCAAAAUUCUUCGUUAGUACGAAAACUCUAUGCGUAUCCACACCGAGAUUGAUUCUUGCUAUCAACUUUUUGAUCAAUGAAACCUCGAACAAAUUGAAUAAAAAUAUUAUGUUGAAAUUUUUCUCAAAAAUCUAUCUCAAAGGUAGAAGAACAAGAAACACUUUUUCUGUAAUUGUAUUUUCUCUCUUGCACUCUCACUUUCCCAAAGUGAUUUUUCUUGAACCCUUUUCUCCACCACCCUUUAUAUAACAUCACCUAUAAACCUUUUUCCUAUUUGGUCGGGGUAAUAAUUUACUUAGGGUAAAAAAUUUAUACCAAAAAUAGACUUUAUGGAAUUUUCUUAUAAAAAUUCAAUACCCAUUCUCAAAGGGAUUGAAUUGCCGAAGUACAACUCACGCUACUUGGUCCAAUUGGACUUUCACGUCCUUAUGAACUUUAUAAUUCCAAUUCCAAAUUGGAGAAUAAAUUAACAUUGUAUAUAACUUUUAUAUAAAUCAAUAUUAAUUUAUAUUAUAUAUAGCACAUAUAUUUCAACCAAAAAAAAAUAAUUUAAUUUCUAUUCCAAAUAUAAAACUUCCAUUUGUUCACAAUAUUAAUUAUAUCAUCUAUGCUAGCAAAGAAUUUAAUAGUAUUUCAUUUGGACUAAUAAUUAAAGUUAUUUGAUUAAUUAAAUUCUUUAAUUUAAUUAUCAAAUGAUAAAAUAAUUAAUCAUUUAGCAAUGAUCAGAAUACUUGUUAGUGUGCGACUGUCACGACCCAAUUCUAUUAUAGGCCGUGAUGACAUCUAACGUCGCCGCUAGGCAAGCGAACAAUGAACUAACCACAUAAUUUCAUUUUUAAUAAAUUUUUCAAGUAACUAACUUCCCUUAAUUUAAAAGUUUUACGAAAUGACAGAUUUUAAAUGAAAAGACGAAAGCAACUGUGUGCAAUCAUAAUCAUAAUAAAUACAAUCCAAAAUUAUAAGUCUACUAGUGUGUGCCAGGACCCGGUGUCACAAGUGUGUGGGCAUUCUAGUAGAAUAUACAAAGGAAUACUAGUCUACUAUCUGAAAUGAAAUAGACAGAAAAAUAUAAUAAAAGAAAGACUCCAGCUGCUGCAGAACGGCUCGGAAGGUAGCUCACCAUGAAGUCUCGAAGUGGAAGUCAAGUGUGUGCGUCAGACUGAUAUCCAGAUGCACCUGCCUCAGAUCCUGCACAUUUAAGUGCAAAAGUGUAGCGUGAGUACAUAAACAACAUGUACCCAGUAAGUAUCUAGUUUAACCUCGAAGAAGUAGUAACGACGGGUCAACUGCGACACUUACUAUGGGCCAACAAUGUAAUAAUAUGAAGUUCUAAUUAAACAUGAUAGAUAUAAAUGACAAUAAAACUCAGAGUAAGAAGUAAAUAAAUAAUCCUUUCAUCGCUAGUAAGAACCGAAUCAUUUCCCUCUUUUAAACAUGUAAUUUCUCAAGCCAAUAGUAAAUACUCCCUUCGUUCCAAGAACCUGUUUGACUGU